This 377-nucleotide ribosomal RNA is filed under the name uncultured bacterium. Its description in RNAcentral is "bacterial SSU rRNA". It matches the Rfam family "Bacterial small subunit ribosomal RNA", at positions 521 to 896 of the family's 1533-position model. The record is from RNAcentral.
UAAUACGUAGAAGGCAAGCGUUAUCCGGAUUUAUUGGGCGUAAAGAGGGUGUAGGCGGUUCUUCAAGUCGGAUGUAAAAUCUCCCGGCUUAACUGGGAGGGAUCAUUCGAUACUGUUGGGCUAGAGUGCAGCAGAGGGAGGCGGAAUUCCCGGUGUAGUGGUGAAAUGCGUAGAUAUCGGGAGGAACACCAGUAGCGAAGGCGGCCUCCUGGGCUGUUACUGACGCUGAGACCCGAAAGCGUGGGGAGCGAACAGGAUUAGAUACCCUGGUAGUCCACGCAGUAAACGAUGGACACCAGGUAUGGAGAGUAUCGACCCUCUCCGUGCCGAAGUUAACGCUUUAAGUGUCCCGCCUGGGGAUUACGGUCGCAAGACUA